UCCAGACUCCUACGGGAGGCAGCAGUGGGGAAUAUUGCACAAUGGGGGAAACCCUGAUGCAGCGACGCCGCGUGAGCGAUGAAGUAUUUCGGUAUGUAAAGCUCUAUCAGCAGGGAAGAAAAUGACGGUACCUGAAGAAGAAGCCCCGGCUAACUACGUGCCAGCAGCCGCGGUAAUACGUAGGGGGCAAGCGUUAUCCGGAUUUACUGGGUGUAAAGGGGGCGCAGACGGCGAUGCAAGCCAGGAGUGAAAGGCGGGGGCUCAACCCCCGGACUGCUCUGGAAACUGUACGGCUGGAGUGCAGGAGAGGUAAGUGGAAUUCCUAGUGUAGCGGUGAAAUGCGUAGAUAUUAGGAGGAACACCAGUGGCGAAGGCGGCUUACUGGACUGUAACUGACGUUGAGGCUCGAAAGCGUGGGGAGCAAACAGGAUUAGAUACCCCAGUAA
Molecule: ribosomal RNA, 446 nt
Filed under: uncultured bacterium
Lineage: Bacteria
Description: bacterial SSU rRNA
Rfam family: Bacterial small subunit ribosomal RNA
Source: RNAcentral